This 444-nucleotide ribosomal RNA is filed under the name uncultured bacterium. RNAcentral's name for it is "partial 16S ribosomal RNA". It matches the Rfam family "Bacterial small subunit ribosomal RNA", at positions 338 to 795 of the family's 1533-position model. The record is from RNAcentral.
CCUACGGGUGGCAGCAGUGAGGAAUAUUGGUCAAUGGGCUUACGCCUGAACCAGCCAAGUCGCGUGAGGGAAGACUGCCCUAUGGGUUGUAAACCUCUUUUGUCAGGGACGAAGCAAGUGACGGUACCUGAGGAAUAAGCCACGGCUAACUACGUGCCAGCAGCCGCGGUAAUACGGAGGUGGCAAGCGUUAUCCGGAUUUACUGGGUGUAAAGGGCGUGUAGGCGGGACUGCAAGUCAGAUGUGAAAACCACGGGCUCAACCUGUGGCCUGCAUUUGAAACUGUAGUUCUUGAGUACUGGAGAGGCAGACGGAAUUCCUAGUGUAGCGGUGAAAUGCGUAGAUAUUAGGAGGAACACCAGUGGCGAAGGCGGUCUGCUGGACAGCAACUGACGCUGAGGCGCGAAAGCGUGGGGAGCAAACAGGAUUAGAUACCCCUGUAGUC